This 317-nucleotide long non-coding RNA is filed under the name Elaeis guineensis (African oil palm). Its description in RNAcentral is "long non-coding RNA (EGUI_LNC025201)". The record is from RNAcentral. Lineage: Eukaryota; Viridiplantae; Streptophyta; Magnoliopsida; Arecales; Arecaceae.
GGGCUAUGAUGAUAAUAAUAUUUUAUUUUUUAACUUAUUCAGGCAUCGGGGUAUGUUGCAAAUGUAGCCUAUUUGCAUAUUUAUUUAUCAAAAAAUUCUAUUUACCUAUGCCUCUCAAAUUAUUUUGUUUUUGCAUGUCCACCAACAAUAUUAAUAAAAAUUUAUUUUAAAUAUAAAAUUACUUUAUUAUCCUUUUACAUUAAUAUGUUUGAAAAUUUUAUAUAAAAAUAUAACUAAUUUCUAAAUAUUAAUUUUCCAGUAAUCUUAUAAAAAGAAAAUUGAAAAUAAUUAUUUAUUGCACCAUCAGUCAAGGGGAG